RNAcentral lists this small RNA (395 nucleotides) under Rattus norvegicus (Norway rat). Its description in RNAcentral is "uncharacterized LOC102555171". Lineage: Eukaryota; Metazoa; Chordata; Mammalia; Rodentia; Muridae. The record is from RNAcentral.
CAAAAAGAUAAGACUUCGGAUUCACGAGCUUAACAAAACCACCAGGUGAGCCUUCAAUGGAUUGGAUCAUGCUUGCUCACACUGUUUGUAGAACUCUGACCAAAUGAGUAAGUCAAGGUGCUCCUGUGGACAGGAUAUACAUACUAAAAGAUGCCAAUGGGAUUCAAGGUGCAGCGUCUUUUUGUGAAGGUUUUCUCUUCUUGAAAAUCAGAUGCUUCUCAUUCAUAUAUUAGCUCAAAUAUUCCUGAAGAAAGUCUGUUAUUGCCCGUAGUGAAAUUGGUUUGGAGUCAUUGUCCACCAUAGCAUCUCAUAUCAUUUUCUUCAUGGCAAUUCCAGGCAUCCGAAAAUAUCUGCUUAUUAAUUUCUUAUAAAUUGGUGUCUGUGUCCUUACCUUA